RNAcentral lists this ribosomal RNA (66 nucleotides) under Lasiodiplodia theobromae. Its description in RNAcentral is "partial large subunit ribosomal RNA". The record is from RNAcentral. Lineage: Eukaryota; Fungi; Ascomycota; Dothideomycetes; Botryosphaeriales; Botryosphaeriaceae.
CUGAACUUUUCUCAAGGUUGACCUCGGAUCAGGUAGGGAUACCCGCUGAACUUAAGCAUAUCAAAA